This 468-nucleotide ribosomal RNA is filed under the name uncultured bacterium. RNAcentral's name for it is "partial 16S ribosomal RNA". It matches the Rfam family "Bacterial small subunit ribosomal RNA", at positions 28 to 507 of the family's 1533-position model. The record is from RNAcentral.
GACGAACGCUGGCGGCGUGCUUAACACAUGCAAGUCGAACGGAAAGGCCCUGCUUUUGUGGGGUGCUCGAGUGGCGAACGGGUGAGUAACACGUGAGUAACCUGCCCUUGACUUUGGGAUAACUUCAGGAAACUGGGGCUAAUACCGGAUAGGAGCUCCUGCUGCAUGGUGGGGGUUGGAAAGUUUCGGCGGUUGGGGAUGGACUCGCGGCUUAUCAGCUUGUUGGUGGGGUAGUUGCUUACCAAGGCUUUGACGGGUAGCCGGCCUGAGAGGGUGACCGGGCACAUUGGGACUGAGAUACGGCCCAGACGCCUACGGGAGGCAGCAGUGGGGAAUAUUGCACAAUGGGCGGAAGCCUGAUGCAGCAACGCCGCGUGCGGGAUGACGGCCUUCGGGUUGUAAACCGCUUUCGCCUGUGACGAAGCGUGAGUGACGGUAAUGGGUAAAGAAGCACCGGCUAACUACGUG